AGCCGAUUCCAUGACUAUUUUGCUGCAACAGCGCAUUCUGCAAAUUUCAGCUGCUUCACUAGCUUCUCCUGUUUGUUGCUGAACCGAUUAUCCUGUUCUGCACUUGUUCCGCGGAAGAAUCCCGAGUCCCAUCUUCUGCCUCGCUCGGACCUGAUAUUUGUUCUUUAUUCUCCUAAAGCGGUAAUUGAUUUUAUAUUAUUAUUAAUUUUUUGGGGGGGGAGGUAAUGGAUUUUUGAGUGAUAAAGCAACCUUGCAUUCCUAAAAUGAACUCAACUUUUUCUUUUUUCCUUUUCUAAAAAAAUAUUGCUAGGUUAGGUUUUCUAAUGCUUUCUUUAAAAAUUUUUGCCUCCAUGUCUAUGAAGCACAUUUAUGUUUGAUUUACCUUUAUUACAAUGUUCUUGUCAAGUUUUACUAUCAAAAUUAUGCAGGUCUCAUAAAAUUAACUGAGAAUUGUUCUCACUUAAAAAAAAAAAGAUUUUAUUCAUUUAUUUAGGAGAGAGAGAGCACAGGGGCAGAGGCAGAGGCAGAGGGAGAAUCAGAGGGAGCCGGAUGUGUGACUGAGUCCCAGGACCCUGAGAUCAUGCCCAGAACUGAAGGCAGACACUUAACUGACAGGCCACCCAAGCACCUCGUUGCUUUUUUUUUUUUUUUUAAGAUUUUAUGUAUUUACUUUAGA
This 676-nucleotide long non-coding RNA is filed under the name Canis lupus familiaris (dog). RNAcentral describes it as "lncRNA (ENSCAFG00845004096.1)". The record is from RNAcentral. Lineage: Eukaryota; Metazoa; Chordata; Mammalia; Carnivora; Canidae.